GACGAACGCUGGCGGCGUGCUUAACACAUGCAAGUCGAGCGGUAAGGCCCUUUCGGGGGUACACGAGCGGCGAACGGGUGAGUAACACGUGGGUGACCUGCCCUCAGCUCUGGGAUAAGCCUGGGAAACCGGGUCUAAUACCGGAUAUGACUCCAUGACGCAUGUUGUGGGGUGGAAAGCCUUGUGCGGCUGAGGAUGGGCCCGCGGCCUAUCAGCUUGUUGGUGGGGUGAUGGCCUACCAAGGCGACGACGGGUAGCCGGCCUGAGAGGGCGACCGGCCACACUGGGACUGAGACACGGCCCAGACUCCUACGGGAGGCAGCAGUGGGGAAUCUUGCGCAAUGGCGAAAGCCUGACGCAGCGACGCCGCGUGAGGGAUGACGGCCUGUGUACU
This 394-nucleotide ribosomal RNA is filed under the name uncultured bacterium. RNAcentral describes it as "bacterial SSU rRNA". It matches the Rfam family "Bacterial small subunit ribosomal RNA", at positions 28 to 424 of the family's 1533-position model. The record is from RNAcentral.